CCUACGGGAGGCUGCAGUGGGGGAUAUUGCACAAUGGGGGAAACCCUGAUGCAGCGACGCCGCGUGGGUGAAGAAGCGCCUCGGCGCGUAAAGCCCUGUCAGCAGGGAAGAAAAUGACGGUACCUGAAGAAGAAGCCCCGGCUAACUACGUGCCAGCAGCCGCGGUAAUACGUAGGGGGCAAGUGUGAUCCGGAUUUACUGGGUGUAAAGGGGGCGCAGACGGCGAUGCAAGCCAGGAGUGAAAGCCCGGGGCCCAACCCCGGGACUGCUCUUGGAACUGCGUGGCUAGAGUGCAGGAGGGGCAGGCGGAAUUCCGGGAGUAGCGGUGAAAUGCGUAGAUAUCAGGAGGAACACCGGUGGCGAAGGCGGCCUGCUGGACUGCAACUGACGUUGAGGCCCGAAAGCGUGGGGAGCAAACAGGAUUAGAUACCCUUGUAGUC
RNAcentral lists this ribosomal RNA (440 nucleotides) under uncultured bacterium. RNAcentral describes it as "partial 16S ribosomal RNA". It matches the Rfam family "Bacterial small subunit ribosomal RNA", at positions 338 to 795 of the family's 1533-position model. The record is from RNAcentral.